GUCCAGAGGAGGUUCUGGUCCGUGUGUGUGGGUUUCCUGUAAACUGUUAUUUUGAUGCUGCUGUCUUCUCUGUGGUGAAUGUUCAUGUCCAGGAAUGAAAUGGUCCGGUUUAUUUCCUCUUCGUGUGUGGAUUGUAUGUUUCCCGUGUCGUCCAUGUUGUUCAGAUGAUCAGUGAGUUCUUGUGUGUGUCCAGAUUUUAUUAUUUCCAGGAUGUCGUGGACGUAUCUUCUCCAGAGUGUGGGUCUGCAGAGCGGGGAUGGCUUUGGUUUCCAGGUCCUCCAUGAAAAAGUUACUCAUUAUGGCUGAAAGUGGAUCUUUUUUUCAACUUUAUUUUACCAGCAUUAAAACUUUGUCUGCAGAGAGAAAAGAACGACUCCGUUUUUUGCCAGACUGGAGGAUGUUGGAGGGAGUCUGUUAAUCUCUCUGGACCUGACAUUUGAAAACCUCCACCUCUCCUCACCCUCCCAGCCCACUGAUGUGAGGAAAUCCAGCUCUGAACAGACUGAACUCCUAAAUCCCUCCUGGAAGCUUCACCCUGAACAGACAACUGCAACGCCGUGGUAACGGGCAGAUUACAGGUAACA
Amphiprion ocellaris (clown anemonefish) is the source of this 584-nucleotide long non-coding RNA. RefSeq lists it as uncharacterized. The transcript is spliced from 2 exons. NCBI's taxonomy places the organism in Eukaryota, Metazoa, Chordata, Actinopteri, Pomacentridae. The record is from RefSeq and is a predicted model, not a curated record.